RNAcentral lists this ribosomal RNA (369 nucleotides) under Triticum aestivum (bread wheat). RNAcentral's name for it is "partial small subunit ribosomal RNA". The record is from RNAcentral. Lineage: Eukaryota; Viridiplantae; Streptophyta; Magnoliopsida; Poales; Poaceae.
AUGCUAGCCAAGUUAACUCUACGGAGUACCCAAGUGAAGCAUGCUGACAUAGUACUUGUAGCACUGGGGAAGCUGACAAAACUUGCCAUUCUACGUCUUCAUAACGAGCCGUUUGAAAAGGGAGAACUCCACAUCCAUUAUCAACCCGAGGCCUUCGCAAGGCUGACAUUUCUCCAGCUUGUGAACCUAUCUGGCCUCAAAUCUGUCAAGUUUGAAGAAAAGGCAACGCCUAAGCUUGAACUGCUUCAGGUACACAAUUAUUUUGUAAGGGUUCCCAGGGAUACAUUUUUUCCCAAGUCUCAAGGAAGUUUCAAUAACGGCGAUAAGGGUGGAUUGAGUGAAAUUUUAAGGAAGCGUUGCGGGAUCUGA